This 623-nucleotide long non-coding RNA is filed under the name Homo sapiens (human). RNAcentral's name for it is "novel transcript". The record is from RNAcentral. Lineage: Eukaryota; Metazoa; Chordata; Mammalia; Primates; Hominidae.
ACAAACAUGAAUAUAAAUGCUUUAGUAUGAAGAAGCCAUUGAUAGUUGUAAUAACUUUGCAUUGUUAAUUGGUAUCUUACAAAUUACAACUUAUGCAAACAAAAUUAUGUUGGUCUAUAAAUAUUGGUUAAAUGAACAUGUUUCCUGUACAUUUAUAAAUUCUCCAUAUGAAAAAUACUCAUCUGAAAUGCUAAAAGCAAAAAUGUUAUCAGUAGAAAAGCAGCUAUUUUAUGACUUUUUAAAGCAAGUUAUGUCUGUUAUUUUUCACCUGUUUCAAAGGAAUGCAUAAGAUGCUUUUAUAAGUGUUUUUGUUCAUGUAUAACAUACUUAGCACUUACUACAGAUGAAUGCUGUAGACUACUUAAUUUCAAAUGCCUACAUUUUCAAAACAAUGAAGACAUAUUACUGACCAUAAAAUGGAAAUAGCAACCAUUCAAAAUAGUUGAACAUUUAUUGUGUCAUUUACUCUACGGAGGCAAUCUCAUUAUUAAAGAAGUUAUAGCCAGUUUAUGUGCAUAUGUAGGUGCAAGUAUCUAUAAUGUACAUUAUAAUUUGUAACUAUCAAAUAUGUAAGUGUAAUGAAUAUCGGUUUAUUUUGAAUACAAGCUUAUAUAAAACAAAGA